UGUUAAAAAUUCCAUUUAUCUGUAAUGUUAAAAAUUGAUGUGCCUAACUGAAUAACCAAAUAGUAACACGUGGCGUGACAUAUGUAUGUCAUACUUACGUACAAAGACCAAUUUUUAACAAUAAAAAUAGAUAAAAAUUUUAAAA
MicroRNA precursor from Gossypium arboreum, 145 nucleotides. It matches the Rfam family "MIR7502 microRNA precursor family". The record is from Rfam. NCBI's taxonomy places the organism in Eukaryota, Viridiplantae, Streptophyta, Magnoliopsida, Malvales, Malvaceae.